GCUGGCUGUCCGGGUGUGUAAAAUACACCUGUUAGCAAGGGCCGGGCAAGACCGGUGCCAGCCGCCGCGGUAACACCGGCGGCCCGAGUGGUGAUCGUGAUUAUUGGGUCUAAAGGGUCCGUAGCCGGUUUGGUCAGUCCUCCGGGAAAUCUGAUUCAACUAUUAGGCUUUCGGGGGAUNCUGCCAGACUUGGAACCGGGAGAGGUAAGAGGUACUACAGGGGUAGGAGUGAAAUCUUGUAAUCCCUGUGGGACCUCUUACCAGAACGGGUUCGACGGUGAGGGACGAAAGCUGGGGGCACGAACCGGAUUAGAUACCCGGGUAGUCCCAGCCGUAAACGAUGCUCGCUAGGUGUCAGGCAUGGCGCGACCGUGUCUGGUGCCGCAGGGAAGCCGUGAA
RNAcentral lists this ribosomal RNA (399 nucleotides) under uncultured Methanosarcina sp. Its description in RNAcentral is "bacterial SSU rRNA". It matches the Rfam family "Archaeal small subunit ribosomal RNA", at positions 402 to 818 of the family's 1478-position model. The record is from RNAcentral. Lineage: Archaea; Methanobacteriati; Methanobacteriota; Methanomicrobia; Methanosarcinales; Methanosarcinaceae.